Molecule: ribosomal RNA, 468 nt
Filed under: uncultured bacterium
Lineage: Bacteria
Description: partial 16S ribosomal RNA
Rfam family: Bacterial small subunit ribosomal RNA
Source: RNAcentral
GACGAACGCUGGCGGCGUGCUUAACACAUGCAAGUCGAACGGAAAGGCCCUGCUUUUGUGGGGUGCUCGAGUGGCGAACGGGUGAGUAACACGUGAGUAACCUGCCCUUGACUUUGGGAUAACUUCAGGAAACUGGGGCUAAUACCGGAUAGGAGCUCCUGCUGCAUGGGGGGGGUUGGAAAGUUUCGGCGGUUGGGGAUGGACUCGCGGCUUAUCAGCUUGUUGGUGGGGUAGUGGCUUACCAAGGCUUUGACGGGUAGCCGGCCUGAGAGGGGGACCGGCCACAUUGGUACUGAGAGACGGCGCAGUCGCCUACGGGAGGCAGCAGGGGGGAAUCUUGCACAAUGGGCGGAAGCCUGAUGCAGCAACGCCGCGUGCGGGAUGACGGCCUUCGGGUUGUAAACCGCUUUCGCCUGUGACGAAGCGUGAGUGACGGUAAUGGGUAAAGAAGCACCGGCUAACUACGUG